Molecule: ribosomal RNA, 465 nt
Filed under: uncultured bacterium
Lineage: Bacteria
Description: partial 16S ribosomal RNA
Rfam family: Bacterial small subunit ribosomal RNA
Source: RNAcentral
GACGAACGCUGGCGGCGUGCUUAACACAUGCAAGUCGUACGGUAAGGCCCUGUCUGGGGUACACGAGCGGCGGACGGGCGGGUAACACGUGAGUAACCUGCCCACCACUUUGGGAGAACUAUAGGAAACUGGUUCUAAUACUGGACAUGUGCUCCUUCUUGAUGGAGGGGGGUGGAAAGCUCCGGGGGGUGGGGGUGGACUGGCGGGCGAUUUGCUUGUUGGUGGGGUAGUGGCCUACCAAGGCGGGGGCGGGUAGCCGGCCUGCGAGGGUGGGCGGCCACCAUGGGACUGAGGUACCGCCCCGACUCCCACGGGGGGCAACAGUGGGGGAUAUUGCACCAUGGGCGCGAGCCUGGUGCAGCCACGCCGCGUGCGGGAUGACGGCCCUCCGGUUGGAAAACGGCUUCCGCAGGGGCCAAGCUUUUUGUGACGGUACCUGGAGAAGAAGCACCGGCUAACUACGUG